CCUACGGGUGGCAGCAGUGGGGAAUCUUGCACAAUGGGCGCAAGUCUGACGCAGCGACGCCGCGUGCGGGAAGGAGGUCUUCGGGUCGUAAAACGCUUUUGUUAAAGGGCAAGGCAUGCUCUAUGGCCGUGUAGCGCGGUGUCUUUGACUAACCAGCGGCUAACUACGUGCAAGCAGCCGCGGUCAUACGUAGGGCGCAAGCGUUAUCCGGUUUUAUUGGGCGUUAGGGGCUCGUAGGCGGUUCGUCGCGUCCGAUGUGAAAGGCCACAACUUAACGGUGGACCGGGGCCGGGAACGGGGGGACUUGAGUGCAGAAGGGGAGACUGGAAUUCCCGGUGUAGCGGUGAAAUGUGUAGAUAUCGGGAGGAACACCAGUGGCGAAGGCGAGUCUCUGGGCCGUAACUGACGCUGAGGAGCGAAAGCGUGGGGAGCGAACAGGAUUAGAUACCCCAGUAGUC
RNAcentral lists this ribosomal RNA (458 nucleotides) under uncultured bacterium. RNAcentral describes it as "partial 16S ribosomal RNA". It matches the Rfam family "Bacterial small subunit ribosomal RNA", at positions 338 to 795 of the family's 1533-position model. The record is from RNAcentral.